RNAcentral lists this ribosomal RNA (971 nucleotides) under uncultured bacterium. RNAcentral describes it as "bacterial SSU rRNA". It matches the Rfam family "Bacterial small subunit ribosomal RNA", at positions 55 to 1035 of the family's 1533-position model. The record is from RNAcentral.
AUGCAAGUCGAACGAUUAAAGCUCUCUUCGGAGAGUGCAUAAAGUGGCGCACGGGUGAGUAACACGUAAGUAAUCUACCUUCGAGUGGGGAAUAACGUCCGGAAACGGACGCUAAUACCGCAUAAUGCAGCGGCAUCGCAAGAUGACAGUUGUUAAAGGAGCAAUCCGCUUGAAGAGGAGCUUGCGGCAGAUUAGCUAGUUGGUAAGGUAAUGGCUUACCAAGGCUACGAUCUGUAACCGGUCUUAGAGGACGGUCGGUCACACUGACACUGAAUAACGGGUCAGACUCCUACGGGAGGCAGCAGUCGGGAAUUUUGGGCAAUGGGCGAAAGCCUGACCCAGCAACGCCGCGUGAAGGAUGAAGUAUUUCGGUAUGUAAACUUCGAAAGAAUGGGAAGAAUCAAUGACGGUACCAUUUAUAAGGUCCGGCUAACUACGUGCCAGCAGCCGCGGUAAUACGUAGGGACCAAGCGUUGUUCGGAUUUACUGGGCGUAAAGGGCGCGUAGGCGGCAAUUCAAGUCAGCUGUGAAAUCUCUGGGCUUAACCCAGAACGGCCAGCUGAUACUGCUUUGCUAGAGUGCAGAAGGGGCAAUCGGAAUUCUCGGUGUAGCGGUGAAAUGCGUAGAUAUCGAGAGGAACACCUGAGGUGAAGACGGGUUGCUGGGCUGACACUGACGCUGAGGCGCGAAAGCCAGGGGAGCAAACGGGAUUAGAUACCCCGGUAGUCCUGGCCCUAAACGAUGAAUACUUGGUGUCUGGAGUUAUUAGUGCUCCGGGUGCCGUCGCUAACGUUUUUAGUAUUCCGCCUGGGGAGUACGCUCGCAAGAGUGAAACUCAAAGGAAUUGACGGGGACCCGCACAAGCGGUGGAGCAUGUGGUUUAAUUCGACGCAACGCGAAGAACUUUACCUAGGCUAGAAUGUGAGGGAAGAAAGGGUAAUUCCGAUCGUCCGGGAAACCGGACCCAAACA